AGCUCAUCAGCCAUCAGAACCCGCGGUGCCCCCGCAUUCCAAAAAACUGUAGAUCUGUAGGCGCCUGAGUGCACCGGCGUGAGAAGAGGGGACAGAACACUUAAAACUUUCAUUAACUGCCUGAUGAGGUCAUGCAGCAGCGUUUUUGGUCUGAAACGAGGCACAUGUGGUAAUGUUGCAAUACACCACAUGUGACAACAAGCCCACGAAGUAGUGCAUUUAACCUUGCAGCAAUUCCCUUCCGCUCUGUCCCGUGACCUGGCGAGCGGGUUCAGCAAGUUGGAGCCGAAGAGUCUUUUGUUUCUUUCUACGACCGCUGUCCACAUCACGCAGAUAGAUUACGCACGGAUGUUAACCCGAUGUGUUCAUUUGAGCGGUGUGGAGUUAAAAGUGCAAUGUGCACGCGCACCAUGGGGGACGCUUUCCAUUCCUUAGUCCCUCUGAAGUCUCAUUCAUGCUAAACGUCCAGACUGAUGAGAAGGCAAAGCUCAGUCGCCUGCAGGUCCACGUGAGCCAACGCUGCACACAGAAGGAACCACUCUUUUUUUUGUAUCUAUGUUUGUUUAGUCAUUUUUAACAACAACAACAACAACAACAACGUUAUGAUGUGAUGUAAAACUGUGAAAGGGAUAACUUGAGAAGGACCACGCUCAUCAACAUAUAAAACCACUUAAGCCCCACAGCCGGGAGAAGACUUUCACUAUUCACAAAGUUAUAUUUGAUCCAUCCAUCCAUCGUCAAUCCGCUUAUCCUGCACACAGGGUCGCGGGGGGGCUGGAGUCUAUCCCGGCCAACUUCGGGUGAUAGACAGGGUACAUCCUGGACUGGUCGCCAGCCAAUCGCAGGGCUACACAGAGACACACAACCAUUCACAUUCACAUCCACACACCUACGGGCAAUUUAGAGUCCCCAAUCAACCUGAUCCCCAGAGCGUGUCUUUGGACUGUGGGAGGAAGCCGGAGAACCCGGAGAGAACCCACGCAGACACGGGGAGAACAUGCAGACUCCACACAGAAAGGCCACUGGGCGGAGUUGAACCCAGGACCUUCCUGCUGUGAGGCGACUAUUGCUGUUAAAACUGCUGAGAAAAUAGACCUACAGCAACGCCUCUUCGGUAAAGCCCUAGCGACAAAUCAGCCAAAGAACAUCAGUAACAAAUCGUUUUUGACAGAAGAAUUUGUAAAAUGUCCCUUUCCUUAUAGCAGUUAGCCAUGAAAAGUGUAACACUCUUAAUAUGAGACCGCAACGUCCCGUGUGCCAGUACGACCACUUCUGGAAGCUUCUGUUCUUUGGUGGAAUGUUCAAAGGUUACGCGUCCAUCUUUUGCCUGCCCGACCCUUUCCCACGAUGCUGAUCCUGGUCGACGAACAGGCCUGUCAAUCUCAUUUCGAUGGAAAUGCCGCAAUUUUGUACGUCUUAACAAUUCCAAUGAGGCGUCGGAGAAAAAGCUCAUUUUAGAAAGGAACCAGCCCGACCGCCGACACCGAAUCGCCCCCCGCCGCCGGCGCCAACGCUGCUCCCCGGGACGUGCCGGAAGCGAUGGACGUGGAGGGGGUUCACCUGGAGGAGGGAACGCCGGAAACCUCCCGGGGAGAGGACUCCGAGCUCAGCCUGAGCUUCCAGGGCUACGUCGCCGAGCUGCGGCAGUGCCAGAGCAAGCUGAGGAACGGCCCGUCGGUGCCCCCCCCGAGCGGCCGCGACGCGCCGGGGCGCACGGACUGCAAGACGGACCUGUACAAGGCCACGAUUGUCUAAACGGAACCCCCCCCCCCCCCUCCGCCCCCACUGCUGCACUUUUUAAACCCCGAGGCACUGUCUUUCAAAAGGGAAUGAGAUGAACGCUGGGCUGCAUGAACACCCCCCUAUAAUCUAAUCUACAUUCCGGGGAUAGAUAUUGGAAAUUUGUUACCAAUUCUGCCGUGAUAUUGUAGGAUUUUUGUACUGGUUGUGAUUUUCUUUGGACAGUGAUAUGGUUUUGUUGUGGUUUAAUAAGCAAAGGAAUUUUAUUAAGAGCCGCGAAGACCAAGGACCGUGUAAGAAGCAGGAAUAUGAAGUUUGGGGUACUUUUUAAGCAGGGCAUGCGUUUCAGAUAGGUGGUUAUCAAUGGGUUUGUAGUAAUUAUUUCCUUUCUAAUAGGCCAUCAAAAUGAAUUGAAUAGUUUACUAAAAAGUAAACGAUGUUAUAUUGUAAUAUGUAGGAGCCAAGGAAUAAACCAUUAAUGAAGCUAAUAAGUAUAAGUAGUAUUGACGUAUGAAGUUUGAUGAGGGAAUCUUGACUUAAUGUCCACCUACUGAGGCUGAGGAAGUCUGGCGCGCAUUUGAAAACUCCAGAAAAGCCAAUGAGUUUUGUGAAUCUUAAAUUGUUGACCUAUUAGAAAUAAGUGCCCACUUUUGUUGGAACACAUGCGAGACAGGACUCUGUUUUUAAGGAUGAAAAGGGAGGCAAAUCACAGUUUUAAUGCAUAUUUAAAUAUUUCCGUUAUAUCACUCCUAUGUUUUGCAGAUAAUACAUGACGGUACCUCUGUUCCUGUGCUUCCUGCUUCCGUGAUUUUGAGGAUGUCCACGUGUUAAAUGAUUAAAAAGCUUUGAUGGCUGUAAAUUCCAACAAAA
Molecule: long non-coding RNA, 2610 nt
Organism: Gasterosteus aculeatus aculeatus (three-spined stickleback)
Lineage: Eukaryota; Metazoa; Chordata; Actinopteri; Perciformes; Gasterosteidae
Source: Ensembl